This 72-nucleotide transfer RNA is filed under the name Helicobacter macacae MIT 99-5501. It matches the Rfam family "tRNA". From Rfam's summary of the family: Transfer RNA (tRNA) molecules are approximately 80 nucleotides in length. Their secondary structure includes four short double-helical elements and three loops (D, anti-codon, and T loops). Lineage: Bacteria; Pseudomonadati; Campylobacterota; Epsilonproteobacteria; Campylobacterales; Helicobacteraceae. The record is from Rfam by way of RNAcentral.
GCGGGAAUAGCUCAGUGGUAGAGCACAACCUUGCCAAGGUUGGGGUCGCGGGUUCGAACCCCGUUUCCCGCU